ACGGCCACGUUACGUUGCAACACCGAUUCCCGUACGAUCACCGAGAGGUAAGCAAGGUCGAGCCUGGCCAGUAUCUAGAUGAGUGACCGAUUGUAAAUGCCAGGUGCUGCAAG
Non-coding RNA from Acanthosepion pharaonis, 113 nucleotides. The record is from the annotation of a GenBank genome assembly. Lineage: Eukaryota; Metazoa; Mollusca; Cephalopoda; Sepiida; Sepiidae.